RNAcentral lists this long non-coding RNA (530 nucleotides) under Sorghum bicolor (sorghum). RNAcentral's name for it is "long non-coding RNA (SBIC_LNC014958)". Lineage: Eukaryota; Viridiplantae; Streptophyta; Magnoliopsida; Poales; Poaceae. The record is from RNAcentral.
UCUGUGAUUACCUACAGGAAAAAAAGGUAAGUGAUGGCCUCAUCGUCUCCCACCCACAUGGCCUCUGCCUCUCCACCUCACCAUGCUUCCUUGCCCCAAACCCAUAUAUCCCCACGCCGGCAUUCGCCCAUGAGAGCUGACGGCGUCGACCACCAUGGCUGCACCUUUUCUCUGGACAGACACCUUGUUCACCCACGCGUCGGGACCUUCCUUACCUACUCCACCACAACUGGGUCAUUCCAAGGGCCAGAGAUUGACUCAGUACAGCCCCACUCCAUACUCCAGUCAUCCAGUGAUUUCCCAGCCCGUUGAAUUAUCGAGAUGCGCUGGUUGCUCUGGCAAACACGUAGAAGUUAAUCACCUCUGUUUUCUGAUAACAGGGGAGGUGCUGGAGAAAGCCAACGUGGUGAGGAGAUCACAACUCAUCAAUGCUCGCUCGGCCAGUGUAGCUGCGACUGCGAGUGAGGACCAACUCCGCCUCGUCCAGCUCUGGCGUCAUCAUUGAGCUCCUCACUACACAGAUUUCACAG